GGCUUGUUGGGCUAGGGGUUUGCUUCUUACUUAUGGUGCAGGAGUUCUCAGGUUCGAAUCUUGGACACACCC
Molecule: non-coding RNA, 72 nt
Organism: Pangasius djambal
Lineage: Eukaryota; Metazoa; Chordata; Actinopteri; Siluriformes; Pangasiidae
Source: the annotation of a GenBank genome assembly